GCAUUGUAAUUUAUCAAAUUUUCGUUAAAUUAUUUUUUUACAAAAGAAGUUUACUGCUACACGAGCUGCGAUAUUCGUGUCCUCAAUUUAACUUAAUUUUAAAAAUUAAGAACAAAACGAUUAAAAACAAAGUAAUUUUAGAGAAUAAAUUUACAGUUAAUCCCUUUAUUAUUCCUCACCCAAAGAAGGAAAGUACGAAGAAAAUCGGGUUUUUACCUCAAUAUUAUAAAAAAAAAUUUAUACACCAAAAUAGGUUGUCAGCUAGAUUAAUUACGAAAAUGGUAUGUUUUUUUAGGUCGUGCCUAUCUGACAGGCACAACCGAUUUUU
This 328-nucleotide long non-coding RNA is filed under the name Gossypium barbadense (sea-island cotton). RNAcentral's name for it is "long non-coding RNA (GBAR_LNC000705)". Lineage: Eukaryota; Viridiplantae; Streptophyta; Magnoliopsida; Malvales; Malvaceae. The record is from RNAcentral.